UACGUAGGGUCCGAGCGUUGUCCGGAAUUACUGGGCGUAAAGAGCUCGUAGGUGGUUUGUCGCGUUGUUCGUGAAAACUCACAGCUCAACUGUGGGCGUGCGGGCGAUACGGGCAGACUAGAGUACUGCAGGGGAGACUGGAAUUCCUGGUGUAGCGGUGAAAUGCGCAGAUAUCAGGAGGAACACCCGUGGCGAAAGCGGCUCUCUGGGACGGUACUGACGCUGAGACGCGAAAGCGUGGGGAGCAAACAGGG
Molecule: ribosomal RNA, 254 nt
Filed under: uncultured bacterium
Lineage: Bacteria
Description: partial 16S ribosomal RNA
Rfam family: Bacterial small subunit ribosomal RNA
Source: RNAcentral